Molecule: small nuclear RNA, 103 nt
Organism: Notechis scutatus (mainland tiger snake)
Lineage: Eukaryota; Metazoa; Chordata; Lepidosauria; Squamata; Elapidae
Source: Ensembl
GUGCUCGCUUCGGCAGCACAUAUACUAAAAUUGGAACGAUACAGAGAAGAUUAGCAUGGUCCCUGUGCAAGGAACAAAAUUAUAAGUCCUUCCUUCCUUCCUU